This 296-nucleotide long non-coding RNA is filed under the name Vitis vinifera (wine grape). RNAcentral's name for it is "long non-coding RNA (VVIN_LNC001051)". The record is from RNAcentral. Lineage: Eukaryota; Viridiplantae; Streptophyta; Magnoliopsida; Vitales; Vitaceae.
CCCUAUUUCAUAUCACUAGUCAGCGAAAUUUCGACGAAAUUUUUCAAAAUUUUCAUCCAUGAUUCUAGUUACACUUUUAUCUAUCAUUAUUCCAUGCAUUUUACUUUAUGAGUAUUAUCACCUAACAUCUCUUGCAUUGUACAUGACUUUGGUGGAUUAAGCAUUGCAUAGAAGCUCCAAGUCAUGAAUUCCUUUCAAAUAGAUGAUUUGUGCACUACCAAUUUAUAGACUUAGGUAAUCCAUUAGAAGUUGUAGUGCAUUACUUUCUAAUUGGAGGGAUAAUUGGUUUUAACUAU